This 100-nucleotide Y RNA is filed under the name Saimiri boliviensis boliviensis (Bolivian squirrel monkey). RNAcentral describes it as "Y RNA (ENSSBOG00000013094.1)". It matches the Rfam family "Y RNA". From Rfam's summary of the family: Y RNAs are components of the Ro ribonucleoprotein particle (Ro RNP), in association with Ro60 and La proteins. Lineage: Eukaryota; Metazoa; Chordata; Mammalia; Primates; Cebidae. The record is from Rfam by way of RNAcentral.
CGCUGAAGGUAGUGAGUUAUCUUGAUUGUUGACAGUCACAGAUCGAACUCCUUGUUCUACUCUUUCCCCCCUUCUCACUACUGCACUAGACUAGCCUUAA